This 496-nucleotide ribosomal RNA is filed under the name uncultured bacterium. Its description in RNAcentral is "partial 16S ribosomal RNA". It matches the Rfam family "Bacterial small subunit ribosomal RNA", at positions 28 to 506 of the family's 1533-position model. The record is from RNAcentral.
GACGAACGCUGGCGGCGUGCCUAAUACAUGCAAGUUGAGCGCUGAAGGUUGGUACUUGUACCAACUGGAUGAGCAGCGAACGGGUGAGUAACGCGUGGGGAAUCUGCCUUUGAGCGGGGGACAACAUUUGGAAACGAAUGCUAAUACCGCAUAAAAACUUUAAACACAAGUUUUAAGUUUGAAAGAUGCAAUUGCAUCACUCAAAGAUGAUCCCGCGUUGUAUUAGCUAGUUGGUGAGGUAAAGGCUCACCAAGGCGAUGAUACAUAGCCGACCUGAGAGGGUGAUCGGCCACUUUGGGACUGAGACACGGCCCAAACUCCUACGGGAGGCAGCAGUAGGGAAUCUUCGGCAAUGGACGAAAGUCUGACCGAGCAACGCCGCGUGAGUGAAGAAGGUUUUCGGAUCGUAAAACUCUGUUGGUAGAGAAGAACGUUGGUGAGAGUGGAAAGCUCAUCAAGUGACGGUAACUACCCAGAAAGGGACGGCUAACUACGU